Long non-coding RNA from Gallus gallus (chicken), 393 nucleotides. The record is from Ensembl. NCBI's taxonomy places the organism in Eukaryota, Metazoa, Chordata, Aves, Galliformes, Phasianidae.
ACCAAGUCCAGAUAUUAUUUUUUAAUAAUUUAUCUGCCAUUGCCAGAAUUGGACAUAAUAUACAUUAUGUAUUGUCCUGCAGUAAUAACAAGUGCCCUUAAUCACAAAACCACAACUGAGCCUACUUGGGAAUUUUAGCAGAGGGUAUCAAAUAGUAAGGUGAUAAAGAAGUUACUGGUGUGCACCCUUUGGCAGUCCUCUACCAGCUGGAAAAAGACUCAUCUAAUGCUGAAGCAGCUCAGCUGGAAAUGGUUUGGGGAAUCUUGGAAUGGAUCAAAACAGACCACAAUGGUUAGAAACAUCUCUGAGCAAGUAAGGAGACAUCAGGUAACUUGUAGCAGAAUGGUCUGAAACUGAAUAGGUCUGAGAAUCAGGGAUUAGGGAUGGCAGCUC